Molecule: long non-coding RNA, 555 nt
Organism: Hemicordylus capensis (graceful crag lizard)
Lineage: Eukaryota; Metazoa; Chordata; Lepidosauria; Squamata; Cordylidae
Exons: 4
Source: RefSeq, a predicted model, not a curated record
AGCACUUCUCAAGCUUGGGUCUCCGGAGGUUGGACUCCACCUCCCAUCAUCCCCUGCAACAGCGGGCAACCCACACGGAGAACCCCUGCUCUUUGGGUUACUUUUCCAGGUCUCCAGGCAGUAUUCUUGUGCGGUUCGCGUUGGAGUUUUGAUGGGGCCGAUUCACUUCCUGUUGCUUUGCAGAAUCGGGUGAAGCACCAGCGAGCUCAAUCUUUUCCUCCCCAAAGAACUCUGUGAACUCUGGGUUUGGCUGUGAUUCAUGAUAACCGGUGGAGCUCAAAAGCAGCCUGGAUUUCAUGCUGAGAGACGGAGCUAAGCGGGCCCGCUCUUCCUGUCCGUGGGUGAAGCCCUGUCUGCCUCAGACGACAAGGAACGGAUCAGAGAUAAGAAAAUGCACCCAGCGGGAGGCAACAGGCUUCGGCCGGGCAUCUGAAAUCCAUUUAGGCCCGGAGGAGAAGCCUCGUUGAUUGGGAACAAACCACAGGGCCAACAGGAUCCCCGAGUCUCUGCCGCCUUUCAGUUUCUUUGCCCAUUUCUCCCCGCCGAUGUUUAAAA